Molecule: ribosomal RNA, 468 nt
Filed under: uncultured bacterium
Lineage: Bacteria
Description: partial 16S ribosomal RNA
Rfam family: Bacterial small subunit ribosomal RNA
Source: RNAcentral
GACGAACGCUGGCGGCGUGCUUAACACAUGCAAGUCGAACGGAAAGGCCCUGCUUUUGUGGGGUGCUCGAGUGGCGAACGGGUGAGUAACACGUGAGUAACCUGCCCUUGACUUUGUGAUAACUUCAGGAAACUGGGGCUAAUACCGGAUAGGUGCUCCUGCUGCAUGGUGGGGGUUGGAAAGUUUCGGCGGUUGGGGAUGUACUCGCGGCUUAUCAGCUUGUUUGUGGGGUAGUGGCUUACCAAGGCUUUGACGGGUAGCCGGCCUGAGAGGGUGACCGGCCACAUUGGGACUGAGAUACGGCCCAGACUCCUACGGGAGGCAGCAGUGGGGAAUAUUGCACAAUGGGCGGAAGCCUGAUGCAGCAACGCCGCGUGCGGGAUGACGGCCUUCGGGUUGUAAACCGCUUUCGCCUGUGACGAAGCGUGAGUGACGGUAAUGGGUAAAGAAGCACCGGCUAACUACGUG